This 421-nucleotide ribosomal RNA is filed under the name Fusobacteriota bacterium. RNAcentral's name for it is "Fusobacteria bacterium partial 16S ribosomal RNA". It matches the Rfam family "Bacterial small subunit ribosomal RNA", at positions 355 to 776 of the family's 1533-position model. The record is from RNAcentral. Lineage: Bacteria; Fusobacteriati; Fusobacteriota.
UGGGGAAUAUUGCACAAUGGACGGAAGUUUGAUGCAGCGACGCCGCGUGGAGGGUGUAGGCCUUCGGGUUGUGAACUCCUUUUUCUCGCGAAAAAGGCACAGUUUUGGCUGUGUUGGUGGUAGUGGGGGAAGAAGCGCCGGCUAACUACGUGCCAGCAGCCGCGGUAAUACGUAGGGCGCGAGCGUUGUCCGGAUUUAUUGGGCGUAAAGAGCUCGUAGGUGGUUCGUCGCGUCUGUCGUGAAAGCCAGCAGCUUAACUGUUGGUCUGCGGGGGGGACGGGCGGGCUUGAGUGCGGUAGGGGUGACUGGAAUUCCUGGUGUAGCGGUGGAAUGCGCAGAUAUCAGGAGGAACACCGAUGGCGAAGGCAGGUCACUGGGCCGUUACUGACACUGAGGAGCGAAAGCGUGGGGAGCGAACAGG